Non-coding RNA from Camelina sativa (false flax), 3329 nucleotides. NCBI's taxonomy places the organism in Eukaryota, Viridiplantae, Streptophyta, Magnoliopsida, Brassicales, Brassicaceae. The record is from RefSeq and is a predicted model, not a curated record.
CGAUGAUCCACAGAUUCUUUCCUACACGAAUCAUGGAGGCACCGGUGGGACUGAUCGUGGAGGUUCAAGGCCUUGUUGGAGGGAAGGAUGGUUUGCGUAUAACUUCGAGUUUCUAGUUACUUCACAUAUACACCUCUCUGCCUAUUGUUUUUUUAAUUAACUAAUGGCUAUUGUUUCUUGACCUUUGUGUUUGUUUUCCAGAUAGCACUUCACUUCGCAGAUGUAAGAUAUGUCUUGCAAACGAGUUUGUUCUUCUAUCUUAUCCUCUCAUGCAAAACGCUCGAGAAAUUCAGUGAUGUUGGCAUGUAUGUUUUAAGCCUUAGACCCUAUAUUUUAGUGGAGGAGGAUGCUUUGAUCGGCUGGUGAUGGUUUUGGUGGAUCGUUUUUGUCUUCUCUGCGCUACAUCUUCAGGUUUUGGAUGAUGCAUUUAUCGAUAAGAGUGAUGGUUUUGAUGUACACUCUUCUUCUCUGUGCUAUUUCUUCAAAGGGUCGUUUGGAAGCAAACCAUGAUCCAAUCAUCACGUUUUCUAAUCCAUGUUAUUGUCUUCAAGCGUUCUCAUGGGUUCCUUGCUCUAAACUCAUCUCUAUUUACUUCUUUAUUGUCACUUUGGUUCGAUGGUUUUGUCUUAUCUUCUAGUUACAUAAUGUCGUUUUUGUUUUGUUGAUCAUGCGAUUGAUCGGAGAUGGCUCUGACUGAUCGUUGUCACUCUCUUACUCAUGUUGCUCUUUUAGGGAUAGUGGAGGAGGAUGCUUUGAUCAGUUGGUGUUAGUUUUGAUGGCUUGUUCUUGUCCUCUCUGCGCUACAUCUUCAGAUUGUGGAAACACUAGUAUUACUGUGUGAGAGGUUCUAAGAGAAAAAGAAGAAAAAAUAUUGCUGUGGGAGUGCAUAAGAUUUCUGAGUUUAACUUUAUGGCUACCUUACAUCUAGAAACUGAUUCAUAUGGCUUUGCUAGGGUUUGGUUUCUAAAUUGAAUCGUUCAAGGCUCUUUUAUUAUGUUCAUGGGAUUUUUACCUGUUUGUGGCUCUGUUAUUUUAGAUUGUGGAGGAGGAUGCUUGAUCGGUUGGUCAUGUUUUUGAUUUAGUGGAUCGUUUUUGUCUUCUCUGCGCUACAUCUUCAGAUCAUGAGGAACUAGGAUUACUGUGUUGGAGGUUCAAAGAGAAAAAACAAACAUUGUGGGAGCGUUUGAAUUCUGAGUUUAAGUUUCAGGUUGUAGAAUGUCGAGAAUGUGAAGGAGGUACGUAGUUCCAUUUUGUUAACUUUUCAUCUACAGUAUCUCUGUUACCUCGUUGGCGGUUUCUUCUCUUUUACUCUUUCUGAUUUUAUGUCUGCAUUUUUCUAUAGUUUAAAUGCUAAUCACUUCUGUUUGGGAUGGUGUUUCUCUUUCUAUGUGAAUUUGAAUGAUGCAAGUAGAAGUUCUGUUUAGACUUGUUUGCCUAGAUCCCUUUCAAGUCUACAAGUUCUCUCCACAGGGAUGAACUUGGGGAUUCCAUCUUUCUGGGUUUAUUUGUCUAUCUGUAAAUUUCUUCUGAUUGUUAUAUGUUUACUGGGUAUCUUUAGCCUUUGAUUUCCUCACUAGUUGCUGAUCUCAAUUGGUAUGUUUCAUAUUUUUUUUUUCCUGUGUGUGUCUUCCAGCUGGAUUUCUUUCAUCCAUCACUUGACUCUAAUCUUUUGCAGUCUAGUAGUAGUCAGAUGAAAGAUGGCCAUAAGUUCUUUUGUUAUAUGGGUUUGUACUUGUCUUUUUGACCUUCUUAAGAUGAAUAUGUCUACUGACGUAGUUUUUGUAUUGAAUAUUGUGGAGUCUUACGACUGUUCUAGUCUGAGCUCAUCUUAUGCAGAAAGCUAGACAUAAGUCAUGACCGUUGUUAACAACCUGUGAGGUGGCUUUUAUGUUCGGGUGUAGAUUACUUCUUGCACCGAUUAGUCACAAAACGGCCAGUCUGCCACAAUGAAUGUUCACUUUUCUAAAUUGCUUGGGUGGUCUUUUCUUAUUUACUUUUCCGUUUUUCUUGUUGAUUUAGAUUGUGGAGGAUGCUAUGAAUAUUGAUUGGUGAUGGCUUUGAUUGAUUGAUUAUGUCACACGUUUUCUCUUUUACCGGUGUCCUUUUUCCCAAAUUCAAUUCCUAAGCAGAUUGUUUUUGCUGUAUGUUGAUACAAAUCGUGGAGGCAAUGGGAUUUCUAUGUUGAGUUGAAUCUAUCUUCUCGCCUAUCAUCUUUUGGUUUCUUCUGAUUUUCCUGUGCUGCAUCUUUUUUUGUUUUUUUCCCGAAUAACACAACUGCCUGUUAUAUCAACAAUCACCUCUGUUGUAUUCGGUCUCAGUUGAUCUUUGAUCUCUCGGCAUUCCAUGUUACCUCUUUGCCGGUUUCUUAUUUCUCUCUGUUUGUUUAUUAGGGUUUGGUAUAUUACCUUUUGCUUUCUUAUGAUUUUUUGGUGAAAUUUUUGGUUUAGAUCUUAGAGGCUGAAGGCAUUGUAGGAGGGAAGGAUGGCUUGAGUAUAAAUAUCGUGUUUCUGGUUUCUUCGCAUCUGUACACCUUUUUGCUAUUGGUUGAUAUAUUUAAUUUUGGUUAUUGUUGGUUAGGUUUUAUCAGUCUUCUGUGUCUUAUAGUGUUCUCCAGAUUUUCAUCUAUCCCUCCUCUCUGUUUUUCAGCUCUCUACACACGUUCAUAUGAAAGGUGAUCUUAAAUUCCCUUCAAAACGAGUUUGUUCUUAUACUUUGUCCUUUGUCAGUAGUUUUGUAUUGAAUGUUUAUAUGUCAGUAGUUUUGUAUUGACUGCUUAGGGCUAGACCUGUGUGGUUUAAGAUCACCUUUCAUUUGAAUGUCAGGUUACUAACUGGUUUCUUUCCCCUUUAUAUCUGGUUGUCCUAGCUCUCAUCAUGCUACAGCUAUGUUUAGUGUGUUUGAUCAUACUCUCAUAUGCUUGUGACGUGGUUUUUUCUUAUGUGAAAUGCUCCCGUUCUUUAUAGGUAUACUGAGGAUGCAUAGGAGGCUAGUUUUAUUCUGUAUCAUGACCGCUGUUAACAACCAGUGAGGUGGCUUUUCCAUGUUUGUUUUUUUUCUCUUACACUCGCAUAUAAUGGAGUUUUUCAUCUUUGGUUGAUUCAGGUUUCAUGAGCUGCUUUUUCCUGGGGUUUGAUUCUUGGUAUUUUUGUUUGCUGUGUGGUUGUUACCCAUAUUGGUUCUUUUUGUGCAUUACGUCUGAUUGUUAUAGUUUACUUGUAUUUAAGAGAAGUAAAUAUCUGAGUUCGUCGUCACUGGUUGCCUCAAGGAUUGAUCACAAUUUGUAAGUCUUUAUCGUAGUAGAUAUUUCAGGUUGCUGGUUGGUUUGUUAA